CCCGAGCUGCCGGAGCCGCCCGAGCCCACCAACAAGGAGCUGUGCGCCAAGGACGGGGCUCUCCAUGCCACCAGGUUCCUGUUUGAGCUGGCCCGCAGGCACCCCAACCUCCCCGACGCCGUCCUCGCCAAGCUCUACGACUCCUCCGGGAAGCUCCGCGGGGAAUGCUGCUCCUCCAAGGACCCCUCCGCCUGCUGGGACAGCAAGCGCCGGCGGAUAGAGGCAGAGCUCUUCCCCUUCCUGCAAAAAGCCAACCAGCUCUGCGGGCAGCACAACCAGCUGCCUUUCCUUGACUUCAAGAAGAGGCUGCGGGACAGCCUGGCACAGGCCGAGCCCCGGCCGGGCCCGGAGCAGCUGGAGCAGCUCCUGGAGCAGCGAGCAUCCUUCGCCUCCACCUGCUGCCUGCCGGCCGCUCCGCCGCUGCUCUGCGCUUCCAAGGUCAGCUCGGAGCUGGGGGAGCUGUGCCAGAAGGGCUCCUGCCUGCUGGGAUAGCGGCCCCUUGUCCAAGGAUGGCGCACGGAUGGAGGGGAGAGCCCUGGGGGGCACGGGAAGGGGCUGGAGGAGGCCCGGCAGGCGGGAGGUGUCGCCGAGCCGGCGCCUUGUAUUCCUGCAGCCGAAAUAAAGACAAGGAAUGUUCUCCUGCAGCCGAAAUAAAGACAAGGAAUGUGCCCUGCGGGAAGGCUUUGUGCACCCUCGGGGCGGCGCAGGGGGGUGGGAGAGGGGCACAGCUUCUCCUCCGCGGGCAGGAAGGGAUCCCAGCCCUGACCCUGGGAGAUAAAGCCCUAAAAACUAAGCGAAAGCAGGGAAAAGACUCCUCAAAUGCCCCCAAGGAGAGCAGCCCGUGGGUGUUGGGGUAUUCAGCUGCCUGAGAGGGGCACCCUGGCACCCCCAGCUCCCCGCCUGCCCAGAGCUCUGGGGGUGCUGCAGGCCCGGGUUGGGAUGCAGGAGGAUGGCAAAGCCAGCCCAGGAAGCAGCAGGAAAAUCCCCCGAGCCCAGAAUUUGGGAGCUUUGUGUGCAACAAACACGGCCCGAGGACACCUGGGUGUGCAGAGAUGAGCCAGGGCGAUACAGCAGAGCCAAAGGCAAGAAGAACUCCCUGUUCAAGGCAGCUCUCCCUUCUCUGGGAGCACUGGCAGUCUCUGGAUGGCUGCUGAGCUCCCCUGGAGUGUGAGAAACAAGGUGGAUUGGGCUGGCACCAUCCCUGUCCUGGACAGAAAAGGGAAACUGGUUUUGGCUUGGUUUUGGUUUUCAUUUUUUGCCCCAAGGACCCCACUGACCUGGGACUGGACGUGCUGGUGCCAAGGCAUGGAUCCUCCUGUCACAGCCUGUCUUUGGCACCUAUUUUCCAAAACAUUGAUUUCCAAUUAUUUCUAACUUACUUCCAAUCAAUAAGUUGGG
Onychostruthus taczanowskii (white-rumped snowfinch) is the source of this 1398-nucleotide long non-coding RNA. RefSeq lists it as uncharacterized. The record is from RefSeq and is a predicted model, not a curated record. NCBI's taxonomy places the organism in Eukaryota, Metazoa, Chordata, Aves, Passeriformes, Passeridae. The transcript has 4 exons.